GAAAAUUUGGCAAGAUUUAGUAUGGCUUAAUAUUUCAUAGAUUUUUCAUUUAAUUUUAGCAGAGGGUAUGUUUUGUUGCAAUGAAAUCCAUGAAAAAGGAAAAGAAGAAAUGGGACCAUCUCAUGGCUUUCCAACUCGAGUGAAGAAUAAAUCAUAUAAAAAUUAAGUUAUAGGCUUAUGCCCCUCAAAUAACUUUAUCAAUUAAAUUAGUCAACAUCAUUUUUUUUUUUUUUUGAGAAAUAUAAUAGUAAUGUGUAAUCAUGACUAUUUCAGUGGG
RNAcentral lists this long non-coding RNA (277 nucleotides) under Elaeis guineensis (African oil palm). Its description in RNAcentral is "long non-coding RNA (EGUI_LNC025019)". Lineage: Eukaryota; Viridiplantae; Streptophyta; Magnoliopsida; Arecales; Arecaceae. The record is from RNAcentral.